UACGUAGGGCGCAAGCGUUAUCCGGAAUUAUUGGGCGUAAAGAGCUCGUAGGCGGUUUGUCGCGUCUGCCGUGAAAGUCCGGGGCUCAACUCCGGAUCUGCGGUGGGUACGGGCAGACUAGAGUGAUGUAGGGGAGACUGGAAUUCCUGGUGUAGCGGUGAAAUGCGCAGAUAUCAGGAGGAACACCGAUGGCGAAGGCAGGUCUCUGGGCAUGUCCUGACGCUGAGGAGCGAAAGUGUGGGGAGCGAACAGG
RNAcentral lists this ribosomal RNA (253 nucleotides) under uncultured bacterium. RNAcentral describes it as "partial 16S ribosomal RNA". It matches the Rfam family "Bacterial small subunit ribosomal RNA", at positions 524 to 776 of the family's 1533-position model. The record is from RNAcentral.